This 460-nucleotide ribosomal RNA is filed under the name uncultured bacterium. Its description in RNAcentral is "partial 16S ribosomal RNA". It matches the Rfam family "Bacterial small subunit ribosomal RNA", at positions 338 to 795 of the family's 1533-position model. The record is from RNAcentral.
CCUACGGGGGGCAGCAGUGAGGAAUAUUGGUCAAUGGACGAGAGUCUGAACCAGCCAAGUAGCGUGAAGGAUGACUGCCCUAUGGGUUGUAAACUUCUUUUAUAUGGGAAUAAAAUGUUCCACGUGUGGGAUUUUGUAUGUACCAUAUGAAUAAGGAUCGGCUAACUCCGUGCCAGCAGCCGCGGUAAUACGGAGGAUCCGAGCGUUAUCCGGAUUUGUUGGGUUUAAAGGGAGCGUAGGUGGGUUGUUAAGUCAGUUGUGAAAGGUUGGGGCUCAACCGUAAAAUUGCAGUUGAAACUGGCAGUCUUGAGUACAGUAGAGGUGGGCGGAAUUCGUGGUGUAGCGGUGAAAUGCUUAGAUAUCACGAAGAACUCCGAUUGCGAAGGCAGCUCACUGGACUGCAACUGACACUGAGGCUCGAAAGUGUGGGUAUCAAACAGGAUUAGAUACCCUUGUAGUC